GCGUCAGAUGUGUAUAAGAGACAGGUGAAUCAUCGAAUCUUUGAACGCACAUUGCACCUCUUGGUAAUCCUUGAGGUAUAUUUGUUCGAGCGCCGUUUAAAUAUUAAGACUUUGUCUUUUGUUGAAAUUUACUACGUAAUUGUAGUUUUUCUAAAUAUUUUGGCGUAUUUUUAUUGCAUCAAAACCGCAGUGAAAAUGUGUUUUUAAGUCAAUAAAAGACUGCCUUGUUUAUUAUUCAAAAACAUGGCCUCGGAUCAAAUAGGGAUACCCGCUGAACUUAAGCAUAUCAAUAAGCGGAGG
Molecule: unclassified non-coding RNA, 300 nt
Filed under: uncultured fungus
Lineage: Eukaryota; Fungi
Description: sequence contains 5.8S rRNA gene, ITS2
Rfam family: 5.8S ribosomal RNA (bases 1-95)
Source: RNAcentral